AUUGAACGCUGGCGGCAGGCCUAACACAUGCAAGUCGAACGAGUGGCGGACGGGUGCGUAAUGUCUGGGAAACUGACAGCUGGCGGGGGAUAACUACUGGAAACGGUAGCUAAUACCGCAUACUAUCGGAUGUGCCCAGAUGGGAUUAGCUAGUAGGUGGGGUAAAGGCCUACCAAGGAGACGACCCCUAGCCGGUCUGAGAGGACGACCAGCCACACUGGGACUGAGACACGGUCCAGACUCCUACGGGAGGAAGCAGAGGGAAAUAUUGCACAAUGGGGGCAAGCCUGAUGCAGCCAUGCGGCGGGGAUGAAGAGGGCCGUCGGGUUGUAAAGUACUUUCAGCAGGGAGGCGUUACCCGCAGAAGAAGCACCGGCUAACGCCGUGCCAGCAGCCGCGGUAAUUC
RNAcentral lists this ribosomal RNA (406 nucleotides) under uncultured bacterium. RNAcentral describes it as "partial 16S ribosomal RNA". It matches the Rfam family "Bacterial small subunit ribosomal RNA", at positions 29 to 526 of the family's 1533-position model. The record is from RNAcentral.